CAGCAGCCACGGUAAUACGAAGGGUGCAAGCGUUACUCGGAAUUACUGGGCGUAAAGCGUGCGUAGGUGGUGGUUUAAGUCCGUUGUGAAAGCCCUGGGCUCAACCUGGGAAUUGCAGUGGAUACUGGGUCACUAGAGUGUGGUAGAGGAUAGUGGAAUUUCCGGUGUAGCAGUGAAAUGCGUAGAGAUCGGAAGGAACAUCUGUGGCGAAGGCGACUAUCUGGGCCAACACUGACACUGAGGCACGAAAGCGUGGGGAGCAAACAGGAUUGGAUACCCGAGUAGUCCCUGUCUCUUAUAC
This 301-nucleotide ribosomal RNA is filed under the name uncultured bacterium. RNAcentral's name for it is "partial 16S ribosomal RNA". It matches the Rfam family "Bacterial small subunit ribosomal RNA", at positions 509 to 807 of the family's 1533-position model. The record is from RNAcentral.